GAGCGAGAGGGACACACUGUGAGGUUGCUGCAGGAGCCGACUACCGGAGCCGUGGGUCGUCCGCGGAAGUGUUUGAGAGUGAUUUAUCUGCGGAAUUGGCCAGGUUGGAUGGCGAGCUAUAGAGCCCUGAACUAGAGUCUGAAGCUUUAUGCCUGGAACCGAACUACUUGAACUGUAUCCACCCAACCGAACCCCGGGCUGGUAGGAGGCUUCUCAGCAGCCGCCCUCUGUUUUCCCUUCUUUUUGCCAAAACGCAACAAGUUCAUUGCGGUCCUCCUGAACCUUCAUUUUUCCCCGUCCCUUCACUAAAACCCCUCUGGACACUGCCACCACAGCGUGGACUUUGCAGGGCCCGUUUAAUGAACUAUGAUAUGGUGUUGCGCUCAUACCAUCGUUGGUAAAAACCAAGGACUAAAUCAUGUAUACUGAUAUUGUAAAUAACUGAACGUUGUGUGAAUUGAUGUAUAUGUGAAUGGCCAUUUGAAUUUACAUGUUUAAUGUUGUUUGUUAUUUUUCCUAUUAUUCUUUAAUAUAAUUUGGUACCACUUAAACAUAAAUCCUGUGUUCAGUCUUUAUUACUCUCCAUUCCUAGAGCUGAAUUUAGUUUCUUCUGAUCUAGCCCAGACAUAUCAUUC
Non-coding RNA from Nerophis lumbriciformis (worm pipefish), 635 nucleotides. The record is from RefSeq and is a predicted model, not a curated record. NCBI's taxonomy places the organism in Eukaryota, Metazoa, Chordata, Actinopteri, Syngnathiformes, Syngnathidae.